Molecule: ribosomal RNA, 776 nt
Filed under: uncultured Neocallimastigales
Lineage: Eukaryota; Fungi; Neocallimastigomycota; Neocallimastigomycetes; Neocallimastigales
Description: partial large subunit ribosomal RNA
Rfam family: Eukaryotic large subunit ribosomal RNA
Source: RNAcentral
UCAGACGAUGCGUCAUGCAUAUCAAUAAGCGGAGGAAAAGAAACUAACAAGGAUUCACUCAGUAACGGCGAGUGAAGCGGGAAGAGCUCAAAUUUGAAAUCUUGAAAGGUCACCUUUCACGAAUUGUAGUUUAAAGAAGUGUUUUCUGUUACGAUCGUAAUAUAAGUUCUUUGGAAUAGGGCAUCACAGAGGGUGAGAAUCCCGUCUAUGAUUGCGAUUUGUAGCUUUGUGAUACACUUUCAAAGAGUCGGGUUGUUUGGGAAUGCAGCCCAAAACGGGAGGUAAAUUUCUUCUAAGGCUAAAUAUUGGCGAGAGACCGAUAGCGAACAAGUACCGUGAGGGAAAGAUGAAAAGAACUUUGAAAAGAGAGUUAAACAGUACGUGAAAUUGUCAAAAGGGAAGCGUUUGACACCAGUGUUGUUUUCUCGAAAAUCAAUUAAAAAUGGCUCGAUUUUGUAUUGCUUGAGACCUUAAAAGCUCACUGUACAUUUUUCGUGUCUUUUUUAAUGCACUUUUCGUUUAACAAGUCAACAUCAGUUUCUUUUGUUGUAAAAGGGUCAUUGGAAGGUGGCUUUCUUUUCGGAGAAAGUGUUUAUAGCCUUUGGCCUCUGCAAUCGGAGAGACUGAGGUCUGCAGCGUCAGACUCUUCGGGGUUAGAUACAUUUGUGCUAAGUUAUAGCUUUUUAUAGACAACUUGUUGACUAUAAUUAGUCUUGUAGCUUACUCGCUUAUGCUAUUUUACCUACGCUUAGGAUGUUGACUGAUAUGUAGUCGUA